RNAcentral lists this ribosomal RNA (798 nucleotides) under Pseudomonas poae. RNAcentral's name for it is "bacterial SSU rRNA". It matches the Rfam family "Bacterial small subunit ribosomal RNA", at positions 96 to 873 of the family's 1533-position model. Lineage: Bacteria; Pseudomonadati; Pseudomonadota; Gammaproteobacteria; Pseudomonadales; Pseudomonadaceae. The record is from RNAcentral.
CGGCGGACGGGUGAGUAAUGCCUAGAAUCUGCCUGAUAUGGGGGAUAACGUUCGGAAACGGACGCUAAUACCGCAUACGUCCUACGGGAGAAAGCAAGGGACCUUCAGGCCUUGCGCUAUCACAUGAGCCUAGGUCGGAUUACCUAGUUGGUGAGGUAAUGGCUCACCAAGGCGACGAUCCGUAACUGGUCUGAGAGGAUGAUCAGUCACACUGGAACUGAGACACGGUCCAGACUCCUACGGGAGGCAGCAGUGGGGAAUAUUGGACAAUGGGCGAAAGCCUGAUCCAGCCAUGCCGCGUGUGUGAAGAAGGUCUUCGGAUUGUAAAGCACUUUAAGUUGGGAGGAAGGGCAUUAACCUAAUACGUUAGUGUUUUGACGUUACCGACAGAAUAAGCACCGGCUAACUCUGUGCCAGCACCCGCGGUAAUACAGAGGGUGCAAGCGUUAAUCGGAAUUACUGGGCGUAAAGCGCGCGUAGGUGGUUUGUUAACUUGGAUGUGAAAUCCCCGGGCUCAACCUGGGAACUGCAUUCAAAACUGACUGACUAGAGUAUGGUAGAGGGUGGUGGAAUUUCCUGUGUAGCGGUGAAAUGCAUAUAUAUAGGAAUGAACACCAGUGGCGAAGGCGACCACCUGGACUAAUACUGACACUGACGUGCAAAAGCGUGGGGAGCAAACACGAUUAGAUACCCUGGUAGUCCUCGUCCGUAAACGAUGUCAACUAGCCGUUGGAAUUCGUGAGCUUUUAGUGACGCAUGCUCACGCAUUAAGCUUGACCGUCCUGGCGGCAGUGACGG